GUCGCAUCUCGCUGAAACACUGGUUCCCGUAGAUCACCGAAGUUAAGCAACGUUGAGUCUGGUCAGUACCUAGAUGGGUGACUCCUUGGGAAUACCAAGUGCUGUAA
Molecule: non-coding RNA, 107 nt
Organism: Acanthosepion pharaonis
Lineage: Eukaryota; Metazoa; Mollusca; Cephalopoda; Sepiida; Sepiidae
Source: the annotation of a GenBank genome assembly